UUGAUGGCCGGCAAUAAACGCAUCCUUAUCUUUUUUCUCCCUCCUCCUGCUGACACAGCCGCGACCGAUAAUUAGCAGGGGAAACAGUUGUCUUUGGGCUGUUGCCCGGGAAUGUGAUCUAUGGUGCGGAAUUAGUAACGCUUUAAAGCGGAAUCUCUCGGCGGCUCGCCGUCCAGCAUCGCUGUAAGCCUUGGCAUUUAGUUGAUAUUCUGCCUGCCAAAGUGCCCGGGCUUCCAGUUUAACCUUGCGCCCCUUUCAGGAGGAGGAGACCGGGAGAUGGCGAACGCAGGCAGUUCGCAGCACGCGAACUGCCCUUGGCCCCGGAACGACGCUCACCUCGUAGUUUGUCCCGACAGUCACUCCUGUGGCAUCUCCUAAGGCGGGACGCGCGUGUUUACUCCAGCUCACUGAGAAACGACAAGCGCUGAGUUCCUCGCAGUGCAGGGGGAGAAGUGCGAGAAUUCUGUACAGUUGCAGUGAUAGAUUGCUGUGAUCCACUGCUACGGAUUUGGGACUACAUGUCACGCUUGUGCCUCUCUACCUGUGGUUAUCCGAGGGGUCUUUGAUAAGGACAAGCCCCCCUCCCAAGGACGAGGCGACCUUACAACUAGCACUGGUAAAAUUGGGAGCCUAAACUUGGGUUACCUUGUGUUUGAUUUAUAGGAUGAACGAUUCUCUUAAUGGCAUGAUUGUUCUUUGUCACUGUAUUUAACACCUAUUUAACAUCAUGCAGUGUUCCACUACAAUGAGAUUGUGGGGUGCAACCCCAUACAA
Paramormyrops kingsleyae is the source of this 774-nucleotide long non-coding RNA. RefSeq lists it as uncharacterized. NCBI's taxonomy places the organism in Eukaryota, Metazoa, Chordata, Actinopteri, Osteoglossiformes, Mormyridae. The record is from RefSeq and is a predicted model, not a curated record.